CUGCGGAAGGAUCAUUACCAAGAGGAUCGCGAGGCGCCUGAGAGGGGUAGGACACCUAACUCGCUCGAUCGGUUGGACCCGUACCCACAAUAGCAAGUGAGAGCCAGUCUCUCCAGGGGGGCUUUCGGCGGCUCUGCAGCCGUCUGCCCAUAGACGGGUCCUUCCCUUUAGGCGGGGCUUCUCUCGACGUCCUCGCUUUCCACAACCUUCAACCCUUGAUUACCCUAGCCUUUGUUGCCUCGGCGGGUCCGCCCGCCAGAGGACACAACCUAAACUACUGUUGUAAACGGCGAAGUCUGAGCUACAAAGCAAUUGUUUAAAACUUUCAACAACGGAUCUCUUGGUUCUGGCAUCGAUGAAGAACGCAGC
Molecule: unclassified non-coding RNA, 369 nt
Filed under: Rhytidhysteron rufulum
Lineage: Eukaryota; Fungi; Ascomycota; Dothideomycetes; Hysteriales; Hysteriaceae
Description: sequence contains ITS1
Rfam family: 5.8S ribosomal RNA (bases 321-369)
Source: RNAcentral